Molecule: ribozyme, 116 nt
Filed under: Aedes aegypti (yellow fever mosquito)
Lineage: Eukaryota; Metazoa; Arthropoda; Insecta; Diptera; Culicidae
Description: drz-agam-1 ribozyme
Rfam family: drz-agam-1 ribozyme
Source: Rfam by way of RNAcentral
UGCACAGCAACUCCUAUCCCUACCUCCUCGCGGUACUGACUGAAGUACGAGCAACCUUAGGAAAAAUCGGGUAAUCAACCCCGGUGAGAACUUCGGUCGUAAGCUGACAGAGAAGG